This 484-nucleotide ribosomal RNA is filed under the name uncultured bacterium. RNAcentral describes it as "partial 16S ribosomal RNA". It matches the Rfam family "Bacterial small subunit ribosomal RNA", at positions 30 to 507 of the family's 1533-position model. The record is from RNAcentral.
AUUGAACGCUGGCGGCAGGCCUAACACAUGCAAGUCGAGCGGAUGAAGGGAGCUUGCUCCUGGAUUCAGCGGCGGACGGGUGAGUAAUGCCUAGGAAUCUGCCUGGUAGUGGGGGAUAACGUCCGGAAACGGGCGCUAAUACCGCAUACGUCCUGAGGGAGAAAGUGGGGGAUCUUCGGACCUUACGCUAUCAGAUGAGCCUAUGUCGGAUUAGCUAGUUGGUGGGGUAAAGGCCUACCAAGGCGACGAUCCGUAACUGGUCUGAGAGGAUGAUCAGUCACACUGGAACUGAGACACGGUCCAGACUCCUACGGGAGGCAGCAGUGGGGAAUAUUGGACAAUGGGCGAAAGCCUGAUCCAGCCAUGCCGCGUGUGUGAAGAAGGUCUUCGGAUUGUAAAGCACUUUAAGUUGGGAGGAAGGGCAGUAAGUUAAUACCUAGCUGUUUUGACGUUACCAACAGAAUAAGCACCGGCUAACUUCGUG